This 465-nucleotide ribosomal RNA is filed under the name uncultured Veillonella sp. RNAcentral's name for it is "bacterial SSU rRNA". It matches the Rfam family "Bacterial small subunit ribosomal RNA", at positions 338 to 795 of the family's 1533-position model. The record is from RNAcentral. Lineage: Bacteria; Bacillati; Bacillota; Negativicutes; Veillonellales; Veillonellaceae.
CCUACGUGAGGCAGCAGUGGGGAAUCUUCCGCAAUGGACGAAAGUCUGACGGAGCAACGCCGCGUGAGUGAUGACGGCCUUCGGGUUGUAAAGCUCUGUUAAUCGGGACGAAAGGCCUUCUUGCGAAUAGUGAGAAGGAUUGACGGUACCGGAAUAGAAAGCCACGGCUAACUACGUGCCAGCAGCCGCGGUAAUACGUAGGUGGCAAGCGUGGGCCGGAAUUAUUGGGCGUAAAGCGCGCGCAGGCGGAUAGGUCAGUCUGUCUUAAAAGUUCGGGGCUUAACCCCGUGAUGGGUUGGAAACUGCCAAUCUAGAGUAUCGGAGAGGAGAGUGGAAUUCCUAGUGUAGCGGUGAAAUGCGUAGAUAUUAGGAAGAACCCCAGUGGCGAAGGCGACUUUCUGGACGAAACCUGACGCUGAGGCUCGAAAGCCAGGGGAGCGAACGGGAUUAGAUACCCGAGUAGUC